GGCCUCCUGGUACUUACCAUAAGCUGUGUUCUUGCACCAACUGUGUAGAGAGGAGCAGAGUAAGCUACUACUUAUUAGCCUUAUUCUGGGCCGUGUGUCUGGUCUGUAUUAUGAGUGGGGGACAUGG
Molecule: small nucleolar RNA, 127 nt
Organism: Octodon degus (degu)
Lineage: Eukaryota; Metazoa; Chordata; Mammalia; Rodentia; Octodontidae
Source: Ensembl